Molecule: RNase P RNA, 428 nt
Filed under: Oscillibacter sp.
Lineage: Bacteria; Bacillati; Bacillota; Clostridia; Eubacteriales; Oscillospiraceae
Description: RNase P RNA component class A
Rfam family: Bacterial RNase P class A
About the family: Ribonuclease P (RNase P) is a ubiquitous endoribonuclease, found in archaea, bacteria and eukarya as well as chloroplasts and mitochondria. Its best characterised activity is the generation of mature 5'-ends of tRNAs by cleaving the 5'-leader elements of precursor-tRNAs.
Source: RNAcentral
CGAGUAAGACAGACGGCCGCGUGGACAGGCCGAAAGGCCGUUCAUGAGGAAAGUCCGGGCUCCAUAGGGCAAGGAUAACGGGUAACGCCCGCCGAAGGCGACUUCAGGAAAAGUGCAACAGAGAGAUACCGCCCCGCUGUCCCUUGAGGAAAGCGCCGGAACGCCGAAUUAGCAGCAUGAUUUUGUUGGCGAUGACGCGGACCGGGCCGCGGGGUAAGGGUGGAAAGGUGCGGUAAGAGCGCACCCGACGGCUCGAGAGUGCCCGCCGCUGUAAACUCUAUCCGGAGCAACACCGAUAUGGGAGCAUCGGGGUUCACCCCCGAAAGGCUGGCCCGGCCGCUCCCGGGGUGGCUGGAGCGCACGGGCAACUGUGCGCCUAGAUAGAUGGCUGUCUAAUACAGAACCCGGCUUAUAGUUUUACUCGCAAU